ACUAUAAGUUUUUUUUAAAGAUGAAAAGCGCUCGUCCUUGUGUUGCUACUUUUCUUCGUCCUUGUUUGUGUUGCUCACUAUAAGUUUUGCUUAAAUCUGUAACUAUUAUCGAUGCGCGGACGCCCAGUGGUUCGAGAGCGACAUCUAGGGCGAUCACUUUCGUAGGCGAUCACACCAGCUCUGUGACGGUAUACCGAGUAUAAGGCGGAAAGCGUUUCUCGCCUUGUGCUAAGGUCGCUAUAUGAUGGUUUACAGGAUAGUUAAAUGCUUCGUGUCAUCAUCCCUUUCACCGUGUUUCUCACAUGUGCGUGCGGUGUCUUUUAUUUUUCAUUGGUGCCGAGAACGAACGACACGAGAUCAACAUGUUCGUGCCGCGCACUCAUCUGUCGGGUAAAAACUAUGCUGGCCUUUCGUGCGUCAUCACCGUGUCAAGCAUGGGGAGGCAGCACGGUGGCCUACUAUUCGAGUGAGGCAAGCAAGGCCAUCGCCACGGCUCUUGGUUCAAACAACGCGGAGACGGACAGACGGACCAAGUUCGGCUUCCUAGCAGACGAGAUCGACCAGAUCGUGUCGGGAACCCAUCUGUAAAGCAAAGGCGGUGCUGGGCUUUUGAGGAUCAGGAUCUGCGUAGGAAGAAGUACAGUGCCUGACUGUACUAGCCGUACCAGCAAGCGCCUCGGUGUCUUGGUCCUAACCUGCGGUACUGGUGGCCAGCAGUUCUUACGCAUUGGUAUCUUGCUGCCGGCCCUGGGGACCUGGUGACCAGUUCAAGCGGCUUGGUGUCUUGCCACCCACCCUGCAGACCUGCGGCACUAGAGAUGACUUGCCCGCCCUGUAGUCCUGGUGGCCAGAUGUUCUUGCGUACCUGUAUUUUGCUGCCGGCCCUGUGGAGCUCGCGGCCAGUUCAAGUUCGGCAAUGUCAACUUGGUGGCCACCAUAACGGGCCUGGUGUCUUGCUACGCACCCUGCAGACCUGCCCUGGGGGCCUGGUGGUCAGCGGUACUAGAGGUGACUUGCCCGCUCUGCCGUCCUGGUGGCCAGAUGUUCUUGCGUACCUGUAUUUUGCUGCGGGCCCUGUGGAGCUCGUGGCCAGUUCAAGUCCGGCCCUGUCAACCAGGUGGCCACCACAAGGGGCCUGGUGUCUUGCUACGCACCCUGCAGACCUGCGGUUCUAAGGGUGACUUGCCCGCCCUUUGGUCCUGGUGGCCAGAUGUUCUUGCGUACCUGUAUUGCCGCCCCUUGGAGCUCGUGGCCAGGUAAAAUCCGGCCCUGUCAACCUGGUGUUCACCACGUGGGGUGUGCUGGGGUGUGGUGUCUUGCAACGCACCCUGCAAACCUGGUGAUUACCUGACCUCGUGCGCCCUGGUAUAUUGUUAUCCGAGCAGCAGAUGAGGCGAUGCUGGCCUUUCGUGCAUCGUGACCGCGACCAGCGUGGGUGGCAGCAUGGUGACCGACUAUAGUAGCCAGACUAGCAAGUCGGCCUGGUGUCUUGCUACCCACCCUGCCGUUCUGGUUCUGUGGCCCUCGCGGCUAGCGACCUCUUGGCCAGCUGUUCUAUAGGCCUGGUGACUUGCCCACCCUGAGGACCUGGUGGCCAGCUGUUCUAGCGACCAAGUAUCAUUUUGUCUGCUCGGCGCACCCCGUGGCAAGAUCUUCUAGCGGCCAGAUGUCCUGCGGAUCUUGUGGCUAGCUGUUAUAGCGACCAGUUCUGGCGACCUGGUGUCUUGCCGCUUGCCCGGACCUGGUGGCGAGCUGCUCAACCGACUUUGUAUGCUGCUGAAGAAAAGAUUGGCUGGGCGGUGUAGAAUCACAGGAGGCGAAAUUCUUUUUCUAUCACAAUUUCUUUGUAAAAGCGGAUAGUUGGAUCUGCUUGUCCCACGAGAUAGGCUAUUCGUUCUGCAACUGAAAAUUACUAGGUCCACCUCGCUCCUGGAGCAGCGAAGCGAACAGCAUCCGCAGGCGCACGCUCAUGUCGGGCCACAGGUGCCAUUUGUGAGCAACGUAGGCGACACAGUGCCGCAGCCUUGCCGGUGGCAUGAACACUCCCUGAUGUCUCCGUGCAGCCGGAUACUCCACUUUGAAAAUUGGUUGGCCAAGAUGUCCAGCAGGAUCCUGAGCAGCGUGCUCACCGGAAGUGGCAAAGAUGGCGACGAUCUCCCCACCAUGGACUUCGAACGAGAAAUCCAUCGAUCGGAAGCAACCUGGUCCGAGACCGCCGAAGAGCCGCCGACCCAGGCUGCAGAGGUUCAGCUCCAACGCCAGGUGGCGAACCUGCGUCAGAGCGGCCACAUUUGCCGUCACGACGACGUGGCCGUUCGAACCAUUGCUGAGAAUUCCGACGAACGCGUGUUUACGCACACACAAAAAUAAAGUCUGACAACACCGCUGGCCAUCAGGCCGGAAGACGACGACGACGGCGGCGGCGACGUAUAACAUCCAGGACGUGCCAGACUCGCACUUCAGAUGCCACUAGUCGAGCUAACUAUAAGUCUUUGCGGGGUACAUCCUGAAUAGCCUAAGUAUAGCUUGGGCGGGGUCAUCGAAAAAGAGCACCGAUAACACGGCGCCUUAACGAGUUAUCGAGUUGGCAAAGGCAGACGAAAGACAAGGAGUGGAAUGGUGGUGGAUGGCAUGAAUAUCUUAAGGGACGAAAAACCGCGUGCGACUGCAAAAUUUGGCGGAGAUGUUCGCAGUACCGCAUGCUGUUUGCGCACUGUUUUUCCCCAAGCCACUAAGGUGCUUCGGUACCCUUUUAACACUAAUGCCUAACGCACCGCCUGUAUACUGCGCUGCUUGAGAUUCCGAAAUUCAAAUUUGAGCAGCUGAACGAGAAGUAGCGAUAUGAAUUCGCUGUCGAGCUAAGUGUCUGUUUUGAAUAGCUUGGGAAUCGAAUUGCUAACUACAGUGCUAAGUAACUUUGCUCACAAAUUCUAUCUCCAGCACAAAUUUGCACUCCAUGGCGUGUAAUGGAGAAAAUUCUGCGUACGUGCAAGCGUGCUCGAGCAUUGCAGGGUUUAAAUACUCCCCCAAUACUGUUCGUUUCAGUGCUGUUGGAUGAUUCGAACAGCAAGUUCGUCAGUGUUCAAAAACUGCAGCAGUUGGCGACGAAGCCUGGAGUGAGCUUCUGCAAUAUUCACAGAGCAUCUUGAAGGCGUACCACAGGUUAAGUACAUAAAAUUUCAGGAUGGCUUAUCACGCGCCCCCAUAACUGGCGCCCGUGUAUUGUGUUGCAGGAAGAGUUUCUCGUGACGUCAGCAUUUUGCGGAGGUUAAGCAAUCGCUGUAUAAGAAGGAAGAGCCACUUGAAUACUGGUGUAAUUUGGGGCUUUUUUUUUUUGUUUCCCAGUUCUAUCUUGUGCUUUUCCUCGGUGGCUCCGCCCUCUUUUUUUCUCUCUCUCUCGUACUGAAUAGCUGGUCGCACCUCUUAGCCUAAGGCUUUCUUAAAGCUGUUCCAAAUAUUCUGCAUCCAGAGUAGCGAUUUUCCUCUCUUGCAUCUACCUCCUUCUUUCGGCUGUUACGGUUUUCUGUAUUUAGGAGUCGCCGCUAAGACUUUCUGAAACUGUCCUCAUGUUGUUGCCAUCGUUAAUUCGUACGUGGGUACUUGCGAUAUGGAAUAACAGCUACUGCGAAUCAUACGCAUAACUGAUCUAUUCGAUGUCAUUUUUUUAUGUUGCCAAAUUCCGCAGCGUAUUCUUCAUUCCGGCAUUUUUCGCGGUAGUCAUUUUUCGCGGUAGAAGAUUCGUUGGCUUAUAGCAACGUAGACGUCGCUGGCUAGCCGGUAACAAGAACGCUUAUUGUGGACUCCGUGCGGCCGGAUGCUCCACAUUGAAUAUCGGUUGGCCAGGAUGUCGAGCAGGGUUGAACCACCUUGCUCUGCAUUUUUCUUGCUCUGCAGCUAUGAACGCACUUAGUACACAUCCAAACAUUGAUGACUGCUGGCGUUACUGAACUGUAGUUCGCGAUUAGUGGUGGUUUUACUACUACACGCAGAGUAUUCGUACUGUUCGCCUUGCAUGUGACGCAGUACAACCCUCAAAUUGCACCUACGGCAGUCUCCUCUUGAUUUCGUUUGUGUGCGCGUGUUUUGACCCGCCCAUAGGAAUUAUUUGACUCGUGUAAUGAAUGUUUAUGAAUUUCUAAAUAAACUUGAAUGAAGGCCGUG
Molecule: non-coding RNA, 4161 nt
Organism: Dermacentor andersoni
Lineage: Eukaryota; Metazoa; Arthropoda; Arachnida; Ixodida; Ixodidae
Source: RefSeq, a predicted model, not a curated record